RNAcentral lists this ribosomal RNA (492 nucleotides) under uncultured bacterium. RNAcentral describes it as "partial 16S ribosomal RNA". It matches the Rfam family "Bacterial small subunit ribosomal RNA", at positions 29 to 507 of the family's 1533-position model. The record is from RNAcentral.
AGUGAACGCUGGCGGUAGGCCUAACACAUGCAAGUCGAACGGCAGCACAGUAAGAGCUUGCUCUUACGGGUGGCGAGUGGCGGACGGGUGAGGAAUACAUCGGAGUCUACUUUUUCGUGGGGGAUAACGUAGGGAAACUUACGCUAAUACCGCAUACGACCUACGGGUGAAAGCAGGGGAUCUUCGGACCUUGCGCGAUUGAAUGAGCCGAUGUCGGACUAGCUAGUUGGCGGGGUAAAGGCCCACCAAGGCGACGAUCCGUAGCUGGUCUGAGAGGAUGAUCAGCCACACUGGAACUGAGACACGGUCCAGACUCCUACGGGAGGCAGCAGUGGGGAAUAUUGGACAAUGGGCGCAAGCCUGAUCCAGCCAUACCGCGUGGGUGAAGAAGGCCUUCGGGUUGUAAAGCCCUUUUGUUGGGAAAGAAAAGCAGCAGGUUAAUACCCCGCUGUUCUGACGGUACCCAAAGAAUAAGCACCGGCUAACUUCGUG